GAUGAACGCUGGCGGCGUGCCUAAUACAUGCAAGUCGAGCGAACAGACGAGGAGCUUGCUCCUCUGACGUUAGCGGCGGACGGGUGAGUAACACGUGGAUAACCUACCUAUAAGACUGGGAUAACUUCGGGAAACCGGAGCUAAUACCGGAUAAUAUAUUGAACCGCAUGGUUCAAUAGUGAAAGACGGUUUUGCUGUCACUUAUAGAUGGAUCCGCGCCGCAUUAGCUAGUUGGUAAGGUAACGGCUUACCAAGGCAACGAUGCGUAGCCGACCUGAGAGGGUGAUCGGCCACACUGGAACUGAGACACGGUCCAGACUCCUACGGGAGGCAGCAGUAGGGAAUCUUCCGCAAUGGGCGAAAGCUUGACGGGGCAACGCCGCGUGAGUGAUGAAGGUCUUCGGAUCGUAAAACUCUGUUAUUAGGGAAGAACAAAUGUGUAAGUAACUAUGCACGUCUUGACGGUACCUAAUCAGAAAGCCACGGCUAACUACGU
RNAcentral lists this ribosomal RNA (496 nucleotides) under uncultured bacterium. Its description in RNAcentral is "partial 16S ribosomal RNA". It matches the Rfam family "Bacterial small subunit ribosomal RNA", at positions 28 to 506 of the family's 1533-position model. The record is from RNAcentral.